This 1070-nucleotide small RNA is filed under the name Arabidopsis thaliana (thale cress). Its description in RNAcentral is "ATSL084210". The record is from RNAcentral. Lineage: Eukaryota; Viridiplantae; Streptophyta; Magnoliopsida; Brassicales; Brassicaceae.
AUAAGGAAAAUAUGUUAAUCUUAGCUUUAGUUUAAAGGGAAUUUAAUGAAAAAAAACCCUCAACUUUGGCCAGAUCCAUUUUUAAACCCUGAACUAUGUUUUUAGUAAAACAAACCCUGAACUAAAACCUGUUAAUAAACUUAACCCCACAGUAAUUAAAUAUUAAUGGGAUAUUAAUUUCCAAAAAUCGACCAAAGAACAAUGACAGAAUCCGUGAUCCAACUGAAGAUCGUCCACCUCAAAAAGUUCCUUAUACACGUGAAAAAGUUCAAAUGGUAAAAUAGAGAACAAUGAAUUAUGUUUCACAAGAUCUUCCUUUUCAAAUUAUUUAAUUUAAUCUUUGCAUAUUUAGACUUGCAGCAACUGUCAACAAGUCGGACACAACAAACGUUCAUGCAAGCGUAAAGUAGUGCCAAAACCACCCAAGAAACCUCAAGGACGACCAAGGAAAAAACAGAAAACAAUGGAUGAAGAGAACCCUAUCACUCAGCCAAUACAAUCUUCUCUUCAAAGUUAAUGCUUGACAAGUCUUUACUUUAGAAUAUCUUGUCCCUCUGAAACGAUUGUUUUUUUUUGUGACAAAUAUUGUUGUGUUGCAACAGCUUCGAUAGUUAUGUUGGUUGGAUUUAUUUAAGCAUGACUCUUUGGAUUAUUUUAAGUUGUUGUAUCUUUCUUUCAGCUUCUAAAAUCCAAACUAAUUAAGCAAUUCAAAAUCAUUUAGAACGUUUUUUUUGUAAUAAAUUCAAAACAGUUUUAAAGAACAUCAUGUGGUUUUUGCGCUAAAUACAAAUGUCUCGUUGUUUUUUUUUUGGAAAUUAAUAUCCCAUUAAUAUUUAAUUACUGUGGGGUUAAGUUUAUUAACAGGUUUUAGUUCAGGAUUUGUUUUACUAAAAACAUAGUUUAGGGUUUAAAAAUGGAUCUGGCCAAAGUUGAGGGUUUUUUUCAUUAAAUUCCCUAGUUUAAAUGAUAAGGAAGAACCUAUUAAAAGAUGAGGUAAAAUACAACUAAAGUCAAGAAACUUUCUAAAACAAGAAAGAGAAAUUCUACUAAUCGGUAAAAUGGAAAAUAUA